GUAAGAUGAGUUCUGAGGGCUUUUUUGCAUCUGUGAAUUGUGACUUCUCACGGGGAACUCACACACUUGAGUGACCUGAGAAGACCAUGAAGUGUGAUGUAUUUAACCUCAAUUACAUCACCAUUUCUCAUGUGAUUUUUUUUUCAUUUCAGUUGUCAACGGGAACAUUAUCGUGCCCAAACUUACAAAACUUCCAGACAAAGCUUCCUGAGAGAAGUUGAAAGGCCACCAUCAGCUGAGAAGCUGUGACGAUAUUUGUAGCUGCCUGAAUUGGAGCCAACAAAAACCAGGCUGAAAACAGACUUCCAGAAGAUUCCCCUGCCCAGGAUGGUCUUGUUGGGAUGGAUCCUCUUGCCCCUGGUGCUCUGCAUUCAUG
Molecule: long non-coding RNA, 376 nt
Filed under: Homo sapiens (human)
Lineage: Eukaryota; Metazoa; Chordata; Mammalia; Primates; Hominidae
Description: HSALNT0035515
Source: RNAcentral